CGUCGCCGCGGUAAUACGGAGGGUGCAAGCGUUAAUCGGAAUUACUGGGCGUAAAGCGCACGCAGGCGGUCUGACAAGUCAGAUGUGAAAUCCCCGGGCUUAACCUGGGAACUGCAUUUGAAACUGUCAGGCUGGAGUCUUGUAGAGGGGGGUAGAAUUCCAGGUGUAGCGGUGAAAUGCGUAGAGAUCUGGAGGAAUACCGGUGGCGAAGGCGGCCCCCUGGACAAAGACUGACGCUCAGGUGCGAAAGCGUGGGGAGCAAACAGGAUUAGAUACCCCUGUAGUCCCUGUCUCUUAUACA
Molecule: ribosomal RNA, 301 nt
Filed under: uncultured bacterium
Lineage: Bacteria
Description: partial 16S ribosomal RNA
Rfam family: Bacterial small subunit ribosomal RNA
Source: RNAcentral